This is a long non-coding RNA of Brassica napus (rape), 1462 nucleotides long. RefSeq lists it as uncharacterized. The record is from RefSeq and is a predicted model, not a curated record. Lineage: Eukaryota; Viridiplantae; Streptophyta; Magnoliopsida; Brassicales; Brassicaceae. The transcript has 3 exons.
UAAAUAUAUCAAUUAUUCAUAAUGAUUCAUCAUCAUGUGUAUUAAUAACACUUAUUUACAAAUUAAAUAAUUUUUUAAAUGUUACAGGUCUGUUAUAUCAAGUACCCCCGGGUUAGGAACAGAGAUGAUCCAUGGGUCACUGUUACUUCACUCAACCUGAGAGGCCGAGUUCAGGGAAGUUCUGAGCUGGAAGACCCACUACAACCAAGCACAUCCGGUAACUUAAAUGCAGCAGAAGAUUUAGUUGCAGUUGGCCUUGUAGUCGAUUUAACCGACUUUGGAGAUGAAGCCGUCGUUCAGCCACUGUCGGGAUUCUUCAUUUCCCGCUCCGGUUUUUGCUCCCGCUGCUGCACCCUCUCCCGUUGCUGCACCCCCUCCCAUUGCUGCACCCCCUCCCGCUCCUCCAGUCGUUCCGGGAGUGAUGACUGUUGCCCAGUUGGUUCAACAGCCCGGUCGUGAGCAUCUUCCCUAUCUCACUCCGUGUCCAAAGGGACGACUUCAAACAUGGUAAUUUAAAGUCUUUUUUUUUCCUUUCAUUAAAAUUUGAUUCAUUAUUAAUAAUUUGUUUCUUAUAUUAGGUUCAACCGAUCCGGGAACGGGAUCAGCGCAUGGAUCAACAAUAUGAUGUACUCGAACCUCAGCAAGGGAUAUCCGACUUUCACUCACUUCCCUGCCGAGGACCAGGAGAUGUGGUUUCGUCAGUUUGCGCAAGAGUUCACCUGGAAUCCCGAUCACACGAACUUUAUCCUUGACGCCUUCGUCCAUAAAGUUAUGGACAACUAUGGGAAGCAGAUCUACGAGUGGAAGCAGAAGUGGCUCAUCAACCAGGUUUUUUUUAAUUUAUUAAACAAUUUUUUGAAUUUAUUAAACUAGUUUUGGAUUUAUUAAACUAUUUUAUAUUUUUUUAUUAAAAGGUCCCGAAGUCGAUUAACAGCACGGUCUGGGAGGAGUUGUGUGUGCAUUGGGAUAAGGACGAGACGAAAGCUACCUCUGUGACCAACUCCGCCAACCGAAAGAGCGAUCGUGGCGGGAAGGGCAUGUACAAGCACAAUUUGGGUGCCCAGAUUAUUGCCACUCUGGGGGAUCGCUUGGUAAGUUCAAUCUCUCUCUUUUUUUUUUAAUUAUUUAAGUAUUUUAUUUUAAUUUUUAUGCAUUUCUUCUAAUUUCUAAUGUUUGUUUAACUUUUGUUUUUUUCAAGGCGGAUGAAAAUGAUGGCGAGCCGGUUGAUGAUUUCGUCCUAAUGAAGACGGCGCAUACCAACAAGCACACCGGGGAGAUUGAUGAUGGUGUUGUGAGGGAUGUGCUCAGCCUGAUCGAAACUCAGAAGGAAGACGAAGAGACCCGUCUAUCUCAGCUUCAAACCGACCUGGACGCCACUUCGACGGCUUCGACCAACUUGUCCCGGAUUCGAAUCAACGAAAUCGUUGAAUCGUCGGUUCCAAAGAAGAAGGGACGUUUGGUC